RNAcentral lists this non-coding RNA (148 nucleotides) under Ruegeria sp. RNAcentral describes it as "FMN sequence". It matches the Rfam family "FMN riboswitch aptamer (RFN element)". From Rfam's summary of the family: The RFN element is a highly conserved domain that is found frequently in the 5'-untranslated regions of prokaryotic mRNAs that encode for flavin mononucleotide (FMN) biosynthesis and transport proteins. This element is a metabolite-dependent riboswitch that directly binds FMN in the absence of proteins. Lineage: Bacteria; Pseudomonadati; Pseudomonadota; Alphaproteobacteria; Rhodobacterales; Roseobacteraceae. The record is from RNAcentral.
GCCCGUUCUCAGGGCGGGGCGAAAUUCCCCACCGGCGGUAUGCGGGCCAUGACCCGUAAGCCCGCGAGCGGCCUCGGUUUCGGGGUGACAAGCAGAUCUGGUGAGAGGCCAGAGCCGACGGUCAAAGUCCGGAUGAAAGAGAACGUGC